GGGCUCGAACGUAAGAUGACUGUAGGUGAAAGCUUACAUCUCUUCGGAGCAUUUUACGAGGUGCUGCAUGGUUGUCGUCAGCUCGUGCCGUGAGGUGUCGGGUUAAGUCCCAUAACGAGCGCAACCCCUACCUUAGUUGCCAUCAGGUUAAGCUGGGGACUCUAAAGGAACUGCCUACGCAAGUAGUGAGGAAGCGGGGAUGACGUCAAAUCAGCACGGCCCUUACGUCCAGGGCUACACACGUGCUACAAUGGCCGAUACAGAGGGCAGCUACCUGGUGACAGGAUGCAAAUCUCCAAAGUCGGUCUCAGUUCGGAUCGGAGUCUGCAACCCGACUCCGUGAAGUUGGAUUCGCUAGUAAUCGCGCAUCAGCCAUGGCGCGGUGAAUACGUUCCCGGGCCUC
RNAcentral lists this ribosomal RNA (403 nucleotides) under uncultured Sphingobacteriales bacterium. RNAcentral's name for it is "bacterial SSU rRNA". It matches the Rfam family "Bacterial small subunit ribosomal RNA", at positions 977 to 1381 of the family's 1533-position model. Lineage: Bacteria; Pseudomonadati; Bacteroidota; Sphingobacteriia; Sphingobacteriales. The record is from RNAcentral.